RNAcentral lists this microRNA precursor (102 nucleotides) under Marmota monax (woodchuck). The record is from RNAcentral. Lineage: Eukaryota; Metazoa; Chordata; Mammalia; Rodentia; Sciuridae.
AGUGGGAAAGCUGGGUCAAAUGGUGUUUCCAUUCACAAUUUUCUGAGAAAUCUCCAUUCUGCUUUCCAUAAUGGUGCAACAAUUUGCAGUCCCUCCAGCAAU